GUCCAUGCCCUAAACGAUGGAUACUAGAUAUCGGAGGAGUUAAUCCCUUCGGUGUCGUAGCUAACGCGUUAAGUAUACCACCUGGGGAAUACGCUCGCAAGGGUGAAACUCAAAGAAAUUGACGGGGGCCCGCACAAGCGGUGGAGCAUGUGGUUCAAUUCGAUGAUACGCGAAGAACCUUACCUGGGUUUGACAUGGGGGCGCCGGAGGCAGAGAUGUCUCUUUUUCGCAAGAACGCCCCACACAGGUGCUGCAUGGCUGUCGU
Molecule: ribosomal RNA, 265 nt
Filed under: uncultured bacterium
Lineage: Bacteria
Description: partial 16S ribosomal RNA
Rfam family: Bacterial small subunit ribosomal RNA
Source: RNAcentral